CUUGAAUCUGGGAGACGGAGGUUGCAGUGAGCCGAGAUGGUGCCACUGCACUCCAGCCUGAAUGACAGAGCGAGACUCUGUCUCAAAAAUAAAAUAAAAAAAUAACGUGGGGUACUUGAUGCCUUUGUCUGUAGCUUGGCCUCAGGCACCAUUUCUGGGGCAACAGAAAACUUCAUUCCAUGCCUCAUCCUGGUAUGCAUGCAAAAAUGUUCAUUGCCCCAUUAUCUGCAACCAUGAAAAACUGGAAACGACCCUCAGGCCUAACAGUAGGGGAGGGUUAUAAACUUUGCAAGAGCAGGAACAACAUCUGCCUUGUUCAUUGUUAGGUCUGCAGUGCCCAGCGUGGUGCCCUGCACACAGUAGGUGCUCAGGAAACAUCUGUGGAAGGAAGAGAAUAAAGGAGGGAGGAAGGAAAGGAGGGGGAAAAAAGGAAGAAGAAACUUUGAAAGUUCUUCCGGAAUCCCAGAAAGCAAACCCUUCCCUGCUUCCGCCGCACUGGAGAAGAUGCACCUUUUGGGGGGCUGUGACUGUUCAUUUUUAAAACUUCCAUCCAAUGCCCCCAAAACUUAAUUCCAUUUUGAGUGUUUUUCUUUUUUCAUUUUCAUCCUCCACUGUUUUUUUAACGCUCACUGUUGAAUUUCUCGUUUGGAGAGGCUGAUUGAAUUGUGGCUCAGGGGACUUGAGACAGUCACUUCAGACAUUUAGAGUUCCAAUCACGCUGUCGCCACCCCAGUCCCCCACCCUUGGCACCAGGGAAACUAUCUCUUAUGAGAGCUGAUUAUCUUUACAGCCUAGAACAUCACACUCUAAAACACAGGCUGUGCAAAUCAGAAUUCUCCGUGACUAAUGUACAUCCAGUGAAAAUAUCAAAAUGCCCAUUUAACAGGAGAGGGCUGAUUGGAAAAGCCCACCUGAUCUGCUGGUGAAGUUCCGUGGCUGAUGUCAUUUGAGAGUCACCGGGUCCAGGCCUGGGGAAGGCUGUGAGAUCACCUGUCUGGGGGCUACUCUGUCUCAUCCCUCAGGGCCCAGUCAGUGCCCACGGUCCUCCCUCCAGAGAGAGUGGCAGGCAGGGGAGGCCAGCGGACGGGGAGGCAGGCACAUCAAGUGAGCACCUACUGUGUGCUGGGCACUGUGCCAGGAAGGACCUCAUGCAGUCUGAGAACAACCUUGCCAGGUGAGAUUUAUUUAUCACCCUUUUGCAGAGGGAGCUUCCUAUGGGAUCUCAAAGGAUAAAGAGGAGUUAGUCGGGGGAAGUGGAGAGGCCUGGAAAGGCAUUCCAUGAAGAGGAGACGUCAUUGCAAAGGCAAGAGGCAAUAAAAUAGAACACAAGCAGUCUGGUGUUGCUGAAGCUUAAAGUGCCAGCAGGGAGAGGGAAGGACAAGGCUGGAGAGGUGGACAGGGAAGGAGCAGGGAGACACAACUAGAAGCCUGGAGAAGCUGGAGCGGGCUGUCACUGUCAUUCAGGAGAGAGAUGACGGAGGCUGUAGAGAUGUGUGCUGGAGGCAAAGCCAGCAGGACUGGGUGACUGAUUCAAUGCCCACGGAGGCUGAGGGGUGGUGAGGACCCAAGGAUGACACCCAGAUUCCAUCUCCAGAGCUGAUGGCGGGGCUGCCUCUGAUUCGGGGACUCAAGGGAGGCACUGAUGGAGGAAAGAUGCUGCUUUGCUUCGUGGACAUGCUGGGUUCAUUGUGCUCACAAGACAUGAGCCCAGGAUGACAGGGUCUGACUCAUAGUGGGUCUAGACCCAAAAUCGAGGCACAGAUGUUGGUCAUGAGCUUGACAAUGAUCCCUACAGCCACAGAUCAGAGGGGUGCACAUGGAGCGUGGGGGAGGCUGCAGAUGAGCACCCUGAUCAUUCAUCCUGCACACAAGUUCCAUUUGGCCUGCAAUGUUUCAAAAAUCUUUGAGCCAAUGUUUAAAAAUCAAGCACACUCUCUUAAAAAUACAAAUCUCUGGUUUUUCUUAGAAACUCAGAAGACCUGGCAACAGAGGCUGGAAAUUUCUCAAAGCAACCAUCACCGAGGAUUGGCUGUCCCUUAGACAGGGGCACGCACUCUCCUGUUCACCACAGCCCCACCCUUGUCUAUUGGCUCCCAGAACCACAGGCAGGAGAGUGAGGCUGGUGAGACCCCCACAUAGCUGGGUCACCAGACUGGUCAGCGACAGAGCCGGGAUUCUAGCUCAGGCCCCUCUGCUUCCAAUGCCACCUGCUAUGCUGCCUCCCAGGUCUGGUGACUGUGUGUCAUGGUUCAUCUGGAGUUCACAAGCAGGCCAAGGGUGGCUCCAGGCCUUUCUUGCACAGGCAUUGAACGCGACCCUCCGACCUCUCUAUUGUUACAUCUUUUCCCCUGCUGAGACCUCAUCAGCCUCCGAUCUUGGCUGAGAUAUCAUGUCCUCCCACAAACCCUCCUGAGCCAGGAACCCUCUUCCCAGUGGGACUCACUACAGAGAGGACCCAGCCUGUGGUGAUGAUGAUGAAGAAGUGGAUGGCUACGGCCUUUCUAAUUUUCCCACCAAACUGUGAGCUUCCAGACAGCUGGCAUAGAAGUACCCAAAACAUGUUUGUAGAAUGAAUGAAUGGCCUUCACAAGCUAAGGAACCCAUGGCUUCUUCACUGUCACUGAUUAGCAGUGGGCCCUGGAGCUUCUCUGAGCCUUGGGCUUCACAUCCAGCACAUGGGGCUCACGAGACCUGUGCUUCCUGUGUCUGCCCCACUGAGCUCUCUCCACCCUGCUGCGGGCUUAUAGGCCCCCAGCUCACAGCUAGAGUGGGUUGAAUAAUGUCCCCCAAAAUUCACACCCACCCGAACCCUCAGAAUGGGACCUUAUUUGGAAAUGGAGUCUUUGCAGAUGUAACUAAGGUGAGGAUCACAAUGAGAUCAUAUUAGAUUAGAGUGAGCUCCAAAUGCAAUGACAGGCAUCCUUGUAAGAGACAGAAAAGGACACAGAGAAGGCCAUGUGGAGGUGGAGGCAGAGUUUGGGACGAUGCAGCAGCCAGCCAAGGAGCACCCAAGAAUGCUGGGAGCUACCAGAAGCCACAAGGGCCAAAGAGGAUCCUCCUCCACCAGACGCUCUGCUGAUACCUAGAUUUUGGACUUCUGAUCCCUUGAACUGUGAGAAAAUACAUUUGCUGUUUUAACUGAAGUUGGUGUGUCCACAUUACAGGCUGCUGAGGUGGCCUGGCCACACACCUGCCUGGUGUCGUCCCUACUUGGAGCAGUGAGGUUUGACUCCACAGGAUCACAGCUGCUGCAAAGCUGUCUUCACAUCACUGAGGGAAAUGGAAGGCAACCUUAGAAGUUUCAUCUCUAUCCUCUCCUGGCCCCAAAUUAUUGCCUGAGAACCUAAUUUCCUUUCUCCCUUUCUUCCUGUUUUCUGUCCCUUCUUUCCUUCCUCCUUCCCUUUCCUCCCGUCCUUUCCUGCCUGCCUGCAAUUGCCUUAGUCUCAUGCCCUCCAUCCCAUCUAGCUCCAGCCUCCCUCUUCAGUUCUACCUCCCACCCACUCCAAGCAAGCCCCUUCCCCCAGCCAACUCCUCCCAAGGCAGCCCCUGGCCUCCCUGCCGUGUCUCCCUCAGCAGGUUCCCUUGGUCUAUGGUGCUCCGCCUCACAGGCAUACGUGGAAAAUCUGCUCCUUCACGUGCAAGCUCAGAUCCCACCUCCUCCUGGCACACCCUGGCGACAGUACUUCCCUCUGACUUUCCACCACACCGGUGUUCACAUAAAUGUCUUCGUACCUGAUCUGUGCCAGGUGGACCUAGGGGCCAGGAAGUACAGUGACCUCGCCAUCUGGUAAGGGAGUGGGAAAUGAUGAAGAGACAGCGUUGACAGGUGGGCAGCAGAGGAGGAAGCAGCAGCUUUUGCAGGACAGGGAGGGCUGUGUCCAGGAGGGAAGGGCCACAGGGACAGAGCACAUGCUCCAAGAGACAGGGAAGUCUGGGUAACAGGAUUUGGGGUUCAAAGGGAAAUGAAAAUGGGGGCCAGGUCAUGAGGUCAAGUUAGCCAUUCUGAGGACUUGAUCCUGUCGACGUUGAGUGUUCUGAGUGUGGGCUCCAGCCCACCUACAUCAGAAUUACCUCAGGAGUUUGUGAAAAUGCAAUUUUUUUUUGAGACAGAGUCUCACUCUGUUGCCCAGGCUGGAGUACAGUGGUGCAAUCUCAGCUCACUGCAACCCCUGCUUCCCGGGUUCAAGCAAUCCUCCUGCCUCAGCCUCCCGAGUAGCUGGGAUUACAGGCAUGUGCCCCCACGCCCGGCUAAUUUUUGUAUUUUCAGUAGAGACGAGGUUUCACCAUGUUGGCCAGGGUGGUCUCCAACUCCUGGCCUCAAGCGAUCCACCUGCCUCAGCCUCCCAAAGUGCUAGGAUUACAGGUGUGAGCCAUCGCACACCCAGCAGUGAAAAUGCAAUUCUUGAGUCUCCACCCAGCUCGGGAUUUUUCACAAGCUCCUUGGAUAAUGGUGACGCACCUUUAGUCUGCCCAGAACAGGAGAGGAUGGAGGCAGACUGAGGGAUUCGAAAGGACCAAGUGUCACGAUCAGAUCCACUUUUUGGAAGAAACUGGUAGCACCAACUACAUACGUGUCUUAUGUUCUUGGUUCUGCCUCCAUGGUGCACACUGUCGGUGCCACCUACUCAGCAACUAUCCCUCCUUCUUCCUUGUUAACAGAAGCCCAAUUCUAUUCAGCAUCAAGUAAGUGGACAUUAAUAUAUUCAGGGAAGGGAGGCUCCACCCCUAGCCCUACAGGAGAGCCCUAUUUGUCCCUUUUGUCCCGUACAAACAUUCCAGACUCCCUUGCAGCAAGAAGUGGCAAUGUGACAGUUAUGGUCCAUGAGGCAUAAGGGACAAGUUGUAAGAUGACUCUGGGGAAACCUGGCCUGUUAACAUGGGCUCAGGUGAAGGAAAAGCUGGCGGGUGCUGGGCCUGCUGCUUCUUGACACUGCGCAUGUGAGGAAGGGCCAUCUCACAACCAAGAGACAGCAAGACUUCCAGCCAGGUGUGGUGGCUCACUCCUAUAAACCCAGCACCUUGGGAGGCUGAGGUGGGAGCAUCGCUUGAGCCCAGGAGUCCAAGAUCAGCCUAGGCAACAUCGUGAGACUCCCUCUCUACAGAAAAUUUAAAAAUUAGCUGGGAGUAGCGGCGUGUGCCAGCUACUCAGGAGGCUGAGGUGGGAGGAUUGCUUGAGCCCAGAAGUUUGAGGCUGCAGUAAGCCAUGAUUACAGCACUGUACCCAAGCCUGGGUGACAAAGUGAGACCCUGUCUCAAAAAAAAAAAAAAGAAAAGAAAAAGCCUCUAUGUGUGCAGGGUGCCAGAGCAGAAGGAUGCAAAGAACCUGGUUCUUGAGGACAUGGUUCAGCCACUACCCCAAAUCCAGAACCACCCCCUCGCCCCACCACCAAGAUUUCUUGUCCUGAGAUUGUUAGACUGUAACCACCUUGAGGGCAGGGACUCUGAUACCUGUACUCCUGGCACCUUGAACAGUACUUAGCACACAGUAGGUGCUCAAUAAAUAUCUGUUGACUAAGUUUUCAUAAAUAAGUAAAUGUCUCCAUUGCUUAUACCAGUGGGUUGAGGCUUCUGUUGCUUGUAGCCAAGGAAUCCUGACUCAGUAACUUCUCUCUCUGGCCCCAAGAACCUCCUGAGAACAGGAGAGGGGCUGGGUAUUACUGAACACUGUACUCCACAGGCCCUGGCACAAGACCCACACUCGGUAGAAAUAAGCAGCUCUUGCUCAGAGGAGUCACAGACCCUGCCCUGGACCUGGCUUCUGGGUUCACCAGAGCUGGAGGGUUGAGUCUGCAAGUUCCCCUCACACAGACCUAGGGCAAGACGCCCUGUAACAGCUGAUGAGAGGAGCUUAAGAAAGUCCACUGGGGGCCGGGCGCGGUGGCUCACGCCUGUAAUCCCAGCACUUUGGGAGGCCGAGGUGGGCGGAUCAUGAGGUCAGGAGAUCGAGACCAUCCUGACUAACAUAGUGAAACCCUAUCUCUAUUAAAAAUAGAAAAAAUUAGCCAGGCAUGGUGGUGGGCGCCUGUUGUCCCAGCUACUCAGGAGGCUGAGGCAGAAGAAUGGCGUGAAUCCGGGAGGAGAGCUUUCAGUGAGCCGAGAUCGCGCCACUGCACUCCAGCCUGGGCGACAGAGCAAGACUCCAUCUCCAAAAAAAAAAAAGAAAGUCCACUAGGUCUCCCACACCAGCGAUACCCAGAGGCCACACCAGCUGCAGGCUGAGCGGGUGGAAGCUGGCAGCAAGCACUGCCACUAGAUUUGUCUUGAGGUGAAAGAACUUCUGAGACUAGCCAGAUCCAACCUCCACACAAGUCAGGAAUUUUUAAGCCACUGUCUUCAAGUCCCUCCCAGUUCUAAGUGUGGCAGCCCUGGGAUGCCGCAAUGAGGGAUGAGGGACAGGGCAUGAGCCGCUCAA
Molecule: long non-coding RNA, 6412 nt
Filed under: Homo sapiens (human)
Lineage: Eukaryota; Metazoa; Chordata; Mammalia; Primates; Hominidae
Description: HSALNT0266520
Source: RNAcentral